AAAAAAAAAAAAGGUUUUUCCCGGCCUUUGAACAUUUUGCCUAUGAGAGUUUUGCAUAUAUUUUAUACUUGAGUAGACAACUUUAAUAAUCCAUAUUUAUACUAUCGCAGAAGUAAGCAUUUGGCAAACGUUCAGCCAUUAGCACUCAUUUAACCCUGUUAGCAAUAUUCUUUUGAAAAAAGUGCCAGUCCUUAUGUGAUAAACUAAGAAGCCCAUUGAAUAUAAAAGUGUGUAGGACUGAAACAGUGACCUUAUAUUAUUGCUAAGGGAAUAUGAGAUUAACUUCCUACAGGGGCCAAAACCAGAGAAAGGCUUCCAGCAACUUCAGUGAAAGUAGUUUGGCCACAUGUCAAGCCAAUUGUUUGUAUUAUUUAUGUACCUUUUUCAUAACUGGAAUUGCCAAAUAAGCAUGGAGGUCUAAAUGAUGUACUUGUUAGUGUAUUCAUUCAUAUUGAUUGUAAAGGAUUAUUUUUCACUCAGUACUGAUGUCCUUGGAAAUCUUACCUGGAAACAUGUUUGCAAAAAACAUUAUUGGAUCUUUCAUCUUUUUCUUGGUAUUACAUAUUUGUUCAAUAAAAAUUAAACACCCUCCCUUUUUUUUGAGUGAGGGCAGGGAGUACCUGAAAUAAGACAAUGUUUACUAAGGCAAAUAAUUGAAAAUUAAAUCUGCACUUUAUGGAAAUGAGAAAUAUUAACAUCUUUUUUCUCAUUUUUUUGUAUUACUGUAUUAGCUAAUGAUCAAAGUUGUUAAAAUUAUAAAUUUAUGAUGCAGA
RNAcentral lists this long non-coding RNA (773 nucleotides) under Homo sapiens (human). Its description in RNAcentral is "lncAB638.1". Lineage: Eukaryota; Metazoa; Chordata; Mammalia; Primates; Hominidae. The record is from RNAcentral.